This 449-nucleotide ribosomal RNA is filed under the name uncultured bacterium. RNAcentral describes it as "partial 16S ribosomal RNA". It matches the Rfam family "Bacterial small subunit ribosomal RNA", at positions 338 to 795 of the family's 1533-position model. The record is from RNAcentral.
CCUACGGGGGGCUGCAGUAAGGAAUAUUGGUCAAUGGACGCAAGUCUGAACCAGCCAUGCCGCGUGGAGGAUGAAGGUCCUCUGGAUUGUAAACUUCUUUUAUUGGGGAAGAAACUCCCGAUUUCCAUCGGGAUUGACGGUACCAGAUGAAUAAGCACCGGCUAACUCCGUGCCAGCAGCCGCGGUAAUACGGAGGGUGCAAGCUUUAUGCGGAUUCACUGGGGUUAAAGGGUCAGGAGGGUGGCAGGUACAAUCUCCGGGCUUACCCCGGAAACUGCCAUUGAUACUAUUUGUCUUGAAUACUCUGGAGGUGAGCGGAAUAUGUCAUGUAGCGGUGAAAUGCUUAGAUAUGACAUAGAACACCCAUUGCGAAGGCAGCUCACUACGGAAAUAUUGACGCUGAGGCACGAAAGCGUGGGGAUCAAACAGGAUUAGAUACCCUAGUAGUC